GCUCCCACCCUCGACCUCCCCGUUUGCCUCCUGGGCUGCGGGGGUCGUCGGGGAGCGGGAGGCUUCAGGGUUGGAGAGGACGCCAUGGCCGCGUCUCCAGACCCCAAGCACCAUAGACCGACCACCUCCUGGAUACGAAAGGGGACCCCAGCCUCCGGUUCCCCCGCUCCGCCGCCCGCGCGGCCGCUGCUCCGAGGGGGCGUGUGUUCGUGUCUGUGGGGGAGGGCACCGAGGGUCUCCUUGGGUCCCCAGGGUGGGGUGGGAGCGCAGACCUCGGAGCCACCUCCCCAACACAUACGCCAGGAGGCUCCUCCGGGGCGGGGGUGCGCCCCCCCUGCCCACCCACGCGCCUUCACGCCUUUCAACUCCUCCCGAGUUGCCGCUGAGGAAUCCCUGCCCCAGACCCGGGGGAAUGGGACGUGAUGGGGAGCGCGGAGCCGAAGGGUGCCGAGGAGAGGUCAAUGUGCGCCCCUCCUCUGUUGUCCCCGUGGCCGGCACCACCCGCCUUGACCAGGGCCACAGUGUCGCCAUCGCAGCCAACCCCGUCACUGGUCAUGCAGGUGGAGCGGGGUCCAGGCCAGCCCCCGUCGCACGGCCAGCCUGAGGCCUCAAGCUCUAGGGGUGUCCUGAGGGCCCAGUGAGCCGGGCCACGGAGACAGAGACCGCGAGGCCGCCGACAGCCUCCCCUGGACAACCUCCCGGCACCCUCAGGCUUCCUUCUCCCCUGACGGACACAGCCUCCCUCCGCAGGUCUCUGAACUGGGGGAAGAGAUGGAGGCGGUGCCAGGGUGAGGGCUGCCUCCGCGCCCCCUGCUCCGGCCCGCCCUCCCUGCCCACCCCAGGGCCCUCUCUGCGCGGCGGCCUGGCCGUCCCCUCGCACUAGCGGCCCGUGGCCACCAGGGGGCUCUGAUAUGCAGCGGCGCCGUGGUGCUGGCAGCUCUGAGUCAGGAUUUCGGGGCUGCUUCCCCACCGGCCCUUCUCCCGCUGCGGGGAGGGGGCGGCCCUCCCCACUCCGCCACUCCUCCUCCUCCGCUGGCCGCUGCGGGUUCCCAGGGUGGCCCGGUGUCCCCUCAGCCCGGGCUACGCCGCCGGGCCGGGCCUUCCCUCUCCUUGCCUCGGGACUCCUUGCUUCCCUCCCUGACCUGCCCCUUGUAGAAAAUUGCCCUCUUGUCCCAGUUCCUGGGCCACAGUCCAGAUAGUUGCCCCACCCCAGCGGGAGGCAGAGAGGCCCUGAACCCCCUCUGCCUCUCCCCAAGGAGGAAGAAGAGUCAGCUUGGCGCCUGCAGAUCAGAUGCAGGUCAUUCUGCCCAUUGCACACCGCCGCCCCCCCCAGCUCUCAGCUGGAUGACCUGAAAUAAA
Canis lupus familiaris (dog) is the source of this 1359-nucleotide long non-coding RNA. RefSeq lists it as uncharacterized. NCBI's taxonomy places the organism in Eukaryota, Metazoa, Chordata, Mammalia, Carnivora, Canidae. The record is from RefSeq and is a predicted model, not a curated record. The transcript is spliced from 3 exons.